Molecule: long non-coding RNA, 740 nt
Filed under: Mus spicilegus (steppe mouse)
Lineage: Eukaryota; Metazoa; Chordata; Mammalia; Rodentia; Muridae
Description: lncRNA (ENSMSIG00000010344.1)
Source: RNAcentral
GUGCUGAGAAGCUACGGAGCCCAUGUGAAACAGUGAAGAAACAGCCACCUUCUGUAUGACCUUCUGCAGAGUCUCCGGGAGCUCACCAAGGUUGUCUUCUGCUCAGUCCUGGUGUCAGUGGGCUGAAGAGCGAAGUCAGUUUCAGGGUUGAUAGCUCUCUAAUCCUAUCACAAGCAUGACAAAGCACUUACUCAAGGAGAUGGAAGCCAGAGGCUGGGGUCUGGCUCUGGCCUGGAGGGAGGGAAUUCUGCUGUUCUAUCAAGGUGGUGUAGACUCUUAGAAUGGCAGGAUUGGUCAUUGAGAUAGACACAUCAGGGAUUGAGAACGAGGAAUAACGAUGGGAUUGGUAUAGAGAAAACAAUAAACUAAACCCAAAUAAAUAACUAAGUAAAAAACCCCCAACCAACCAAACAAAAGUCAGAGCCAGUGCAGCAUCCCUGAAGGAAUCCGGGCAAGCCUGGGGUGACCUUUAAGCUUCCUUCCAACAAACAUCACAGUGCUUUGUCAUGUGGCAGGUGGAGCCCCUUCCAUUCCUAAGGAUGUCAGAUGCAUUCUGGGCAACCCUCCACAUGGAUUCGUUUGGAAAUAUUGCUAGUUCUUCGUGGAGAUUGUGUCCAAGGAAGCAGCAUCGAUGCUAAGUGGAUCUUGGAACUGCUUCUCAGAGGAAAGUGUAUUCCAAAAUAAGGGCAGGAGUUCACCGAAAGGCCAUCGUAAUGGAAGCCAGUAAGAGCCAGCCCAAG